CUACGUGCCAGCAGCCGCGGUAAUACGUAGGUCCCGAGCGUUGUCCGGAUUUAUUGGGCGUAAAGCGAGCGCAGGCGGUUAGAUAAGUCUGAAGUUAAAGGCUGUGGCUUAACCAUAGUACGCUUUGGAAACUGUUUAACUUGAGUGCAGAAGGGGAGAGUGGAAUUCCAUGUGUAGCGGUGAAAUGCGUAGAUAUAUGGAGGAACACCGGUGGCGAAAGCGGCUCUCUGGUCUGUAACUGACGCUGAGGCUCGAAAGCGUGGGGAGCGAACAGGAUUAGAUACCCUGGUAGUCCACGCCGUAAACGAUGAGUGCUAGGUGUUGGAUCCUUUCCGGGAUUCAGUGCCGCAGCUAACGCAUUAAGCACUCCGCCUGGGGAGUACGACCGCAAGGUUGAAACUCAAAGGAAUUGACGGGGGCCCGCACAAGCGGUGGAGCAUGUGGUUUAAUUCGAAGCAACGCGAAGAACCUUACCAGGUCUUGACAUCCCGAUGCUAUUUCUAGAGAUAGAAAGUU
This 516-nucleotide ribosomal RNA is filed under the name uncultured bacterium. RNAcentral describes it as "bacterial SSU rRNA". It matches the Rfam family "Bacterial small subunit ribosomal RNA", at positions 501 to 1015 of the family's 1533-position model. The record is from RNAcentral.